This is a long non-coding RNA of Suricata suricatta (meerkat), 228 nucleotides long. RefSeq lists it as uncharacterized. The record is from RefSeq and is a predicted model, not a curated record. The transcript is spliced from 3 exons. Lineage: Eukaryota; Metazoa; Chordata; Mammalia; Carnivora; Herpestidae.
GAAUGGGAGCAGCUGAUGUGAAAGCUGCACCUUUGCUGGUUACAGCGCGUCAUUAUUUUUUAUCAGAUGUAUCCUGUUUAGCAAUCUCAUUGUUUAAACAAAAAUUCGAAGCCAUAUGGCAAAGGUGGGGGCGGGGGGAGGCGUUAAAAUUUUGCAGAAAUUGAAUGGGCAAAAGAACGAUUCUGAAUGGUGGUUAAAAAUGAGAACAUAUGGACAGGAUGGAUACAC